UACGUAGGGGGCAAGCGUUGUCCGGAUUUAUUGGGCGUAAAGAGCGUGUAGGCGGUUUGGUAGGUCCGCUGUGAAAACUCGAGGCUCAACCUCGAGACGCCGGUGGAAACCAUCAGGCUAGAGUCCGGAAGAGGAGAGUGGCAUUCCUGGUGUAGCGGUGAAAUGCGCAGAUAUCAGGAAGAACACCCGUGGCUAAGGCGGCUCUCUAGUACGGUACUGACGCUGAGACGCGAAAGCGUGGGGAGCGAACAGG
RNAcentral lists this ribosomal RNA (253 nucleotides) under uncultured bacterium. Its description in RNAcentral is "partial 16S ribosomal RNA". It matches the Rfam family "Bacterial small subunit ribosomal RNA", at positions 524 to 776 of the family's 1533-position model. The record is from RNAcentral.